UUCAGUUGAUUUCUGAGGUGCUCACUCAGCUAAUAGUUAUUGUUUAAGAAACUCAAUAAUAUUGGCAGCAAGGAGAAUGGUGACUUUCAGGAUGAUAACUAUUGGCUGAGUGAGCAUCACUGAAAUCGACAUGAU
Molecule: non-coding RNA, 135 nt
Organism: Solanum lycopersicum (tomato)
Lineage: Eukaryota; Viridiplantae; Streptophyta; Magnoliopsida; Solanales; Solanaceae
Source: Rfam